RNAcentral lists this ribosomal RNA (415 nucleotides) under Hydroporus sp. IR33.4. Its description in RNAcentral is "partial 16S ribosomal RNA". The record is from RNAcentral. Lineage: Eukaryota; Metazoa; Arthropoda; Insecta; Coleoptera; Dytiscidae.
GUCCUUUAGGUAAUUAUAAUUUAAGGUCUAACCUGCCCAUUGAUAAGUUAAAAGGCCCCAGUAAUUUGACUGUGCAAAGGUAGCAUAAUCAUUAGUUUUUUAAUUAAAAGCUUGUAUGAAUGGUUGGACGAGAUAAAAUCUGUCUCUUUAUAAAAAAUAGAAUUUAAUUUUUAAGUUAAAAAGCUUAAAUUUAUAUAAAAGACGAGAAGACCCUAUAGAUCUUUAUAAAAUUUUUUUUAAUAUUAAUAAAGAAAUUUUAAUUUAUUAUAAAAAUUUUUAUUAUAUUGGGGUAAUAAAAAGAUUAAUAUAAUUCUUUUUUUAAUAACAAUUAUUAUUGAUUAUAUGAUCCAUUAUUAAUGAUUAUAAGAUUAAGUUACCUUAGGGAUAACAGCGUAAUUUUUUUAGAGAGUUGUUA